CUCCAGAGACGCUGAGCGUCCAUGGCGGGACAUCGCAGCAUUUAUCCAAUGAGCGUAUCGUUUUGAAACACUGAAAAAUCUCUUCAGAGAAGCCUCAUGAUGUCCAUUGAAGCUGGGCUUCAACAGGGAAAUGCACUGUGACGCUACGGGAAUGUAUGAGAAGGAAAUUAGUUAGUCGACCUGCUACUAUACGCUGCUGAUGCUGAACUAAUUCGUCUUCGAGAUGAACGUGUUCUAACACAUUUAAAAUGUUAACACUAUAGUAAAUAUUUUACCAUACAUUUUUUUAUAUUUUAGGGGAGGCUGAGCUUCCUUUUCAGUCUUAAAGAAAUCGCCACUGGUGGAAAGUUAACAUAGGAGUUCACCGUCAUGAAUCGGUCCAGAAUCAAGGAUCUGUUGCAGCCAGGCAUUUGGAAGAUCUGAUCGAUACUUCGAGUGGACUUCUUCUCAGAAAGGAUCAAUGUCUCUCCCACCUGACUGGAGGAGGGAAAUCCUGUCGUCAUGACAAAACUGCCAGGGGUAGAAUCACCAUGGAGACACUCGCUCUCAAAUGGAAGCCCAAACAGAGCCAAUGUAUUAUGUCCAUCAGACAACAGAAAUUAGUCCCAGAAACUCUCAUCAGGAAAAUCUCAUCCCUAAGGUCUGAUACAGCCAC
Hypomesus transpacificus is the source of this 655-nucleotide long non-coding RNA. RefSeq lists it as uncharacterized. The transcript has 3 exons. The record is from RefSeq and is a predicted model, not a curated record. Lineage: Eukaryota; Metazoa; Chordata; Actinopteri; Osmeriformes; Osmeridae.